This 406-nucleotide ribosomal RNA is filed under the name uncultured bacterium. RNAcentral's name for it is "bacterial SSU rRNA". It matches the Rfam family "Bacterial small subunit ribosomal RNA", at positions 917 to 1322 of the family's 1533-position model. The record is from RNAcentral.
GGGCCCGCACAAGCGGUGGAGUAUGUGGUUUAAUUCGAUGCAACGCGAAGAACCUUACCAGGGUUUGACAUCCCGCGAAUCUCUUGGAAACGAGAGAGUGCCUUCGGGAGCGCAGUGACAGGUGGUGCAUGGCUGUCGUCAGCUCGUGUCGUGAGAUGUUGGGUUAAGUCCCGCAACGAGCGCAACCCUCGUCCUAUGUUGCCAGCACGUAAUGGUGGGAACUCAUGGGAUACUGCCGGGGUCAACUCGGAGGAAGGUGGGGAUGACGUCAAAUCAUCAUGCCCCUUAUGUCUUGGGCUUCACGCAUGCUACAAUGGCCGGUACAGAGGGCUGCAAUACCGCAAGGUGGAGCGAAUCCCAAAAAGCCGGUCUCAGUUCGGAUUGAGGUCUGCAACUCGACAACAUG